UUCUCAAUCCUAAUCAGAUCAUCCCAUCUAAAGAUACAAACGCUGAUCGGAGAGUCUAAGUUUUGUAAAUGUUUACAUCACCUUGAUAGUGACUCGAGAAGGAUUCAUUUGUUUUUCUACUCUUAAAUGGACCUCUUCUUUGAUUUUGGGACACUAAUCCACUGUUGUUAUCCAAUCUCUUUGCUUUGGCAAGUGCUCCAAGAAACAUUUCACACCUUCAAGUCAUGCUUACGCAAAAGCUCGUGCCCGAGCCGGUGCCCGACGGGAUCUUUACCUCUUUUGUUUCAUCCGAUCCACAAUUUCCUUCUUGGGUGAUCAUCGAUUAUUUUUCAAGCAAUAAUACAGUUGAAAACGAUGAACCCUUGGGAACCUUUAGCAGAGUUGACGAGCCAAGGCCCACCGUUUUGCUUCCUGAGGAGCUAGUUCCGCCAUUUUCUCCAGUUUCCAAUUUUAUUGACCAAGUCAACGAUGACGGUUCCGGUAACGUUAAGCUUUUCACUGAACAGAACUUGGAGAAAUCACUUUUGGAUUUCCAUCCACAACUAAAGACUAAUCAAAUUGUAGCUGUUCAAUUAUGGUUAGUAACAAAAAUCGUCAAGAAAAAUGUACUAAGAUCUUCACCACGCAAUAUACCUGGUUCGUGGACCGAAGAUCAACAGUUCAUGCUAGAUGUGACCGAGGGAUACUUAUGUGAAUCGUUAACCCGAGUUUAUUCCUGUGAUCAAAAGACUAAAAGCAGUAGCUCGUUUGGCCUCAUUGACACCCUUAUUCCGUACUUGUCUACUACGGAAGAGGUGACUUACCUUCUAAAUAGGCAGGUUUCGGUCUCUGCAUUUCGACUUAGGUGCCCUCUAUGGGCGCCUAAUUUGCAUAUUUACAAGCAUCAUCAUCAAAAUUGUCCGAAACCAAGUAGUUCCAAGGAAAACUAUAUCAUAUGCGGAACUUUGGCAAUUCCUGUGUUUGAUCCUUACACUAACCAAUGUGUUGGUGUUUAUGAAGUUGUAAUUGCAUCUACCGAAAUUGAUCUUGCUGUUGUUGAUAUAAUCUGCAAUCUUCUCAAGGCAGUAAACCUUCGUGCAAACACACAGUUUCAUUACCAACCUCGGCAAAGAGUGCUAGCUGAGAUUUUGAAAGUGAUAACCAAGGUAUGCGAGGAUCAUGAUUUACCUUUGGCACAAACUUGGAUGCCUUGUACAUGUCCUGAUCGAAGCUGCAAUUCGAAGCAACUCUGCAUGUCGAAUGCAGAGUUGCCUUUUUAUAUGAAAGACCCUUCCUAUUACCCCUUUUGGGAAGCCGGUGCCAUGUAUCACAUGACUGAAGGACAGGCGGUUGCUGGCACGACAUUUUCAUCAAAAGGACUAUGUUUUUGUAGAGAUAUCACUCGCUUUCCGGACAACUUCUCCUUGGUGCCUUUGUCACGUCAGUUUAAGAUUAAUUGCUCCUUGGCUAUAUGCUUAGGGAGUGCAUACGCGACAAAUGAUGUCUAUAUCGUGCAAUUCUUUUGGCAAAGAACCUUGAAAAAUACGAUAGAAGAUGAUGAUUUUAAGGUCUUUUCUAUUACAACGUCGAUGAAACAACAAUUUGAUAAGCUAAGUAUGGUUUCACCUGUUUAUGAAGAGUUGGAGGCUGAAACAGAGCGAGUUAGUUAUCGUACAAAACUCAUCGAUGGUGAGGGUGAUGGAGAAGAUUAUACAUUCUUAUCGAGUACAAUAAUGGCAAGGGACGAGCACAACAAUGAAGUUGGCAUCCGUUCAAAUAAGCAAAUUGAUCAUGAAUACCAAUCUAUUAAUCGUGGAAUUGAAGGUGUCAAAUGCGAAGUUUCAAAAAAAGCUAGGAAGAAAAAGUGCAAUUUGACCAAGGAAGAUUUGUUGCCGUACCUCAAAGGAACAUUAGACGCUGCAGCUGACCACCUUGGAAUCUCAGAAUCCACCCUAAAGAGAAAAUGCAAGGAAUUGAACAUCAAGAAUUGGCAAGAUGAACGAAAGAACCAGGGUAUUAGUGCUCCCGCAAGGAAGAAAAGAGCAUCUAAAGACUUGGAAUUCUUAGAAGAGUAAUUAUGAGAAAGUUUAGUGUGGGAAAUUGGCAAUGGCGAAUAAGGUAUGUAUGUGUUCAUGUCUUAAUUUUUUUUUAAACAAAAUCUAAACCAAACGAAUUGUCAUAAUGAUUUUUUUUCCUUUUUUUGUACUGUAAAAUUAGUCUGCAAUGUCAAUAAUGUUUGGAGAUUCAAUGUAAUAUGGUAAGAAUGCAAGAUAACUGAUUAGUAGUAACCUAUAUGCAUGAUAUUAUAAAAUAUAAUGGUACAAUUUCCUUGAAUAAUUACGUCUUGUUUGCGGCUAUCCACACUAUGUGACCACUUGUAAAAGAACAAAAUCACUCUUAUAAUAUUGACCAAGUAACCCUGUAAUACUGAUCGAGUAACCCCUAUAACACUCACUGAGUAACACCUAUAACAUUGACGAAAUAACCCCUUUAACACUAACGAGUAACCUUGUCUACGAUCACUGGCCACACCGUGUGGCUAGCCUCAUAUAAGAAUUUGUGUUUCUCAAAUGUUAAAUUAUGAGUUAAAAAGAUGUAUCAAACAAUAUUACUCUUUUUGUCAUCAUUCAAGGUAGUGUAUUGUUCUCUUUAUCUAAGAGGAAAUCCAAGUUACUCGAGCUAAGUAACAAUUCAUGUUACUCAAGGGACAUAAUUGUCAUUUUGUCUGUCUAAGUAGGGAGGAAAAUAGUAGGCCACGAUUUAAUUGCUUUCUUCAUCCUCUCCAUCUCAGAUUUCCUCCAUUUUUGGCUCCUUCAUCCUCCAUAGUCUAGCUUCCUUUAUCAACGCCUCCUCUAUUUCCAUCACCUAAGGUAGUUAAAAUUGAUGCCGUGAACAAGAUGCUUCCCCUAAGGGGUUGAUAUGACCCUACUUGACACUUUUUAUUACUAGGGUUUCGUUUUGUUCCGCCGCAAAGUGGCGUUGUGGGCUUGAGAAUGGACGAAGAAGAGGAGGUCGAUGGGGGAAGAAGAAGAUCAGAGGUCAAAGGGCUUGAGAAAGGACGGAGGUCGACGGGCUUGAGAAAGGACGAAGAAGAUCGGAGGUUGACGGGCUUGAGAAAGAUUAGAGAAGAGGAGGUCGAUUGUGGUUGUUGUGAUGUGUUCGGCGAAGUGAUAAUGGUAGUUGUGAUGAUGGUGGUGGAUGUGAUGGUGGUGAAAGUCGACGGAGAGAAAUGAAGAAGAAAGGACUGCCAGCUAUGGAGUAAUCUGGGCGGAGAGAGAUGAAGAAGAAAGGAUUGCCAGCUAUUUCAAGACCAAUAUUUACAAGAUUGCCAUUUGAGUCACAAUAUUUGUUACUCAAAUUGAGUAACCAGUGCUCCCUCUAUAUCUAAUGAGCUUUACUUAUCUUAUUACUAUGUAUUUUCUUAUCUUUUUUUUUUACACACGUAUUAUCUUAUCUUAUUAGUCCCAAAAUAAUCUUUUAGUUGAAUUUAUCAAUUCUUAUAUAACUUUAAAUAAAUUUAUUUCACAAACUUUUAUAUGUGGCUGGCCACACCGUGUGGCCAAUCAUUAUGGCAGUUACUUUGUUAGUGCUACAAGAGUUACUCUUUCGGUCAGGGGUUACUAAGUCGGUCAGGGGUUACUUGGUCGGUUAGGGGUUACUCGGUCAGUCAGGGGUUACUAAGUCGGUCAGGGGUUAUUUGGCCAGGGGUUAAUUACUCGAUCAAGGGUUACUAAGUCGAUCAUGAGUUACUCGGUCAGGGGUUAAUUGGUCGGUUAAGGGUUACUCGGUCGGUCAAGGUUUACUUGGUCAGGGGUUACUAAGUCGGUCAGGGGUUACUCGGUCAGGAUUUACUUACUCGAACUGGGGUUAUUAAGUCGAUCAGUGAUUACUUGGUUAGGGAUUACUCGAUCGGUCAGGGGUUACAUGGUCAGAGGUUACUCGUCGAUCAAGGGUUACUUGGUGUGUGUCAGCUGGCCACAUGGUGUGACCACCCGCACACAAAAGUUGCUGAAUUUGUUUAGACCUUAGACCCUAGACUUUAUCUUAUCUUAUUCAAAGUUAACAACCUUUUAUUUUAUAGUAGCCCUUAUAGUACAUUUAUACUAUUAGAAUUUAGAUCUUAUUUAUAUUUUAUUUUAUCUAAAUUUUACCUUAGUUAAGCGUAUUAUUAAAUCCGAAAUAAGUGAAAAUAAGAUGAGAAUAUUAGAGGUUAGAUAAGGCAAAUAAAAGUGCAAGUUUCAUUUUUACUUGUGCAUACACUUUUUAGAAAGUACAAAUUAAAGCAUAUUUAUUAAGUGAUCUUGUUAAUUAAGUUAUUUUGUUUAGAGUGAGAGAUAGCUCAAGUGAUUAGAGCUCCCCUCCCGAUUUCAGGUUGUCCAUCUUGGAAAGCUUGUGAUGAUCCAACUUUGUAGAGGAGCUGAUCUCUUUUGAAUGGGCGUGUAAAUAGAUGAAUAAAAUUUUGGAUGAUUAGUUAUUUUAAGCUAAAUUUUGGAUGGAUAAUGUUGUAUGUUUAUGCAGAAAUGUUCCUGUAUUUAGUCAAAUCUCUGACGUUAAAGCAUUCUUACUCUUUCCAUGAUUUAGCUAGAAGAGUGUAUUUUGUAAAUAACUAACAAUAGAUUAUUCUUGUGAUAUUGUAAAUGGAAAAUUGGCCACAGUGA
Molecule: RNA transcript, 4637 nt
Organism: Chenopodium quinoa (quinoa)
Lineage: Eukaryota; Viridiplantae; Streptophyta; Magnoliopsida; Caryophyllales; Amaranthaceae
Gene name: protein NLP6-like
Exons: 8
Source: RefSeq, a predicted model, not a curated record